AUUGAACGCUGGCGGCAUGCUUUACACAUGCAAGUCGGACGGCAGCGGGGGUGCUUGCACCUGCCGGCGAGUGGCGAACGGGUGAGUAACAUAUUGGAAUGUACCGAGUAGUGGGGGAUAACCAAUCGAAAAAUUGGCUAAUAUCGCAUACGUCCUGAGGGAGAAAGCAGGGGAUCUUCGGACCUUGCGCUAUUUGAGCAGCCAAUAUCUGAUUAGCUAGUUGGUGGGGUAAAGGCCCACCAAGGCGACGAUCAGUAGCGGGUCUGAGAGGAUGAUCCGCCACACUGGGACUGAGACACGGCCCAGACUCCUACGGGAGGCAGCAGUGGGGAAUUUUGGACAAUGGGGGCAACCCUGAUCCAGCCAUGCCGCGUGUCUGAAGAAGGCCUUCGGGUUGUAAAGGACUUCUGUUAGGGAAGAAAAGGGAAGUGCUAAUACCACUUUUUGCUGACGGACCUAAAGAA
Molecule: ribosomal RNA, 464 nt
Filed under: Kingella denitrificans
Lineage: Bacteria; Pseudomonadati; Pseudomonadota; Betaproteobacteria; Neisseriales; Neisseriaceae
Description: bacterial SSU rRNA
Rfam family: Bacterial small subunit ribosomal RNA
Source: RNAcentral